GUUCGGAUAGCUCAGUUGGUUAGAGCCUAGUGCUGAUAAUGCCAAGGUUGUAAGUUCGAUCCCCGGAUGGGACA
Molecule: transfer RNA, 74 nt
Filed under: Podarcis lilfordi (Lilford's wall lizard)
Lineage: Eukaryota; Metazoa; Chordata; Lepidosauria; Squamata; Lacertidae
Description: tRNA.Ile
Source: RNAcentral